ACAACAAGUAGACUUCUUAAGACUGAACAAUAAGGAAAUAACAAGACAUGGAGUUCACGAGAGGUCAAUCACUAUUUUAUAAGGCCUAUGAAGUAUGAUAGCUUUUACCUCCAUGGAAAGUCUUGGACAAAAUACAAGGAAGAAGUCCAACCAUAAUUGAAUAGGACUCAUAGUGUGUACAUUUAUGCUAUCGUGAGAAAUAAAAUAAAGAACUUACAAUUUCAAGCGUUUUGAUUUGUUGUAGUUACAUCACUUACAGGAUUCACCAUCUCCUGAUUGUUCCAACCUAUGUCCAAGAAUUUAAUUCAUGUUAUAUGUCUAAAAAAGGUUAGAUGCAGAUGAAAACUAAUUCUACAAUAAAGAAGACGUGCAUCUUCUUCUUUGGACCGUUCUGAUUGAUCUCUUCAUUGACCAUAUCUCCAAAUUCUGGGCAGGCAUUUUCCAUAAGAACACUAUUUUCAAUGGCACGGAUUUCUUUUUCUGAGUUAAUAGGUAAAGUAUAUUUUAACAAUUCUUGACCAGUGCCUGGAGGUUGAAAAUUGGCAUUUG
This 549-nucleotide long non-coding RNA is filed under the name Olea europaea subsp. europaea. Lineage: Eukaryota; Viridiplantae; Streptophyta; Magnoliopsida; Lamiales; Oleaceae. The record is from RNAcentral.